GUAUAAUCCUUGCUAAAACUAGCUCAAAUAUGAGUUAUGCAAGGAACCCUUGUUGGUUUUCUACAUCUUUAAGCUACACCAAACGAUUCAACUUGUUCAUGAGUACCAAUCUGAUCGCGUCUAAGAAAUCAGAAUUGGCUUUAGAGUUGGAAGGGACUGGGUGCUGGGGUCGCAGGGGAAGAACUUCCGCUAUCUCCACGUUCUCCUCCGUUUCUUUUCAGAAUUCCUCCUGCCUUGAAGGCCACAGAGACGACAGUCUUUGCCAAGCUCUCAAAAAUUUGAGCUUUG
RNAcentral lists this unclassified non-coding RNA (288 nucleotides) under Hevea brasiliensis (rubber tree). Lineage: Eukaryota; Viridiplantae; Streptophyta; Magnoliopsida; Malpighiales; Euphorbiaceae. The record is from RNAcentral.